AAAUCCUAGAAGAUGGGCGACAGACUGCAGUUCUGGAGAAAAGGAGCCUAAAACUAGAAGAAGAUGGGUUCUCAUGGAUCUAUAUAUUUGCAUUGUUAAGAUGGUUGCCUUCU
Molecule: long non-coding RNA, 113 nt
Organism: Protobothrops mucrosquamatus (brown spotted pit viper)
Lineage: Eukaryota; Metazoa; Chordata; Lepidosauria; Squamata; Viperidae
Exons: 3
Source: RefSeq, a predicted model, not a curated record